CAGUAGCCGCGGUAAUACGGAGGGAGCUAGCGUUGUUCGGAAUUACUGGGCGUAAAGCGCGCGUAGGCGGUUACUCAAGUCAGAGGUGAAAGCCCGGGGCUCAACCCCGGAACUGCCUUUGAAACUAGGUGACUAGAAUCUUGGAGAGGUCAGUGGAAUUCCGAGUGUAGAGGUGAAAUUCGUAGAUAUUCGGAAGAACACCAGUGGCGAAGGCGACUGACUGGACAAGUAUUGACGCUGAGGUGCGAAAGCGUGGGGAGCAAACAGGAUUAGAUACCCGGGUAGUCCCUGUCCUUAUACA
This 301-nucleotide ribosomal RNA is filed under the name uncultured bacterium. RNAcentral's name for it is "partial 16S ribosomal RNA". It matches the Rfam family "Bacterial small subunit ribosomal RNA", at positions 509 to 809 of the family's 1533-position model. The record is from RNAcentral.